Molecule: long non-coding RNA, 559 nt
Organism: Amphiprion ocellaris (clown anemonefish)
Lineage: Eukaryota; Metazoa; Chordata; Actinopteri; Pomacentridae
Exons: 3
Source: RefSeq, a predicted model, not a curated record
GAUGACAAUAGUUGUGUUUUAGAUUCACCUCCAGGUCCUGAAAUCCAAAUCGUCCGAGCGGUGAUGUUUCCAGAUGUGGGGCUGAAGUCAGUGAGAUCAGCAGUGAAUAGCUGAGCCUCCCAGUAAACAACCAGCCUGCCAAUUGCACCAGCAAGUCGCACCACUGAUAGUUGCACAACGUUGUCUGGUGGCCUCUUCACACUGGGCUGCCCUGCUCCAACUGACCCUCUGACCAGCUCCACUCUGGUGAUAUUCACCAAGAAACUCUCUUCCAGCUCUGGAAUAUCAUCCUUAGAAAAAAACACGAGUACAUGGAAAAUAAAUAAUGGAAAAUCAAUGAUAUCAUGUAUAUAAACAGAUGUUUUUCCAUAUAUCUAAAGGCUUUGAACUGCAGUUAAAUGAGAAAAUAGCAAUAAUCUUGGAUUUUGUAAGAUUUAUUUACAUUAAAUGAUUUAUACAAUCAUCAAAAAAUGUCAAAAGUCACAUUAAUGCAAGUUUUAAAGGGAGAAACAUAGAAGGGUGAGGAAGAAUGAAAGAGGCUAUAUAAGAGAAGACAAAG